UACGGGGGGAGCAAGCGUUGUUCGGAUUUACUGGGCGUAAAGGGCGCGUAGGCGGUCAGCACAAGUCAGUUGUGAAAUCUCCGAGCUUAACUCGGAAAGGUCAACUGAUACUGUGCGACUAGAGUGCAGAAGAGGCAACUGGAAUUCCCAGUGUAGCGGUGAAAUGCGUAGAUAUUGGGAAGAACACCUGAGGCGAAGGCGGGUUGCUGGGCUGACACUGACGCUGAGGCGCGAAAGCCAGGGGAGCGAACGGG
This 254-nucleotide ribosomal RNA is filed under the name uncultured bacterium. RNAcentral's name for it is "partial 16S ribosomal RNA". It matches the Rfam family "Bacterial small subunit ribosomal RNA", at positions 524 to 776 of the family's 1533-position model. The record is from RNAcentral.